This 72-nucleotide transfer RNA is filed under the name Bos taurus (domestic cattle). It matches the Rfam family "tRNA". Rfam says of the family: Transfer RNA (tRNA) molecules are approximately 80 nucleotides in length. Lineage: Eukaryota; Metazoa; Chordata; Mammalia; Artiodactyla; Bovidae. RNAcentral also lists the same sequence under 4 other names. The record is from Rfam by way of RNAcentral.
UCCCUGGUGGCUCAGAUAGUAAAGAAUCUGCUUGCAAUGCAGGAGAACCAGGUUCAAUCCCUGGGUCGGGAA